Molecule: ribosomal RNA, 486 nt
Filed under: uncultured bacterium
Lineage: Bacteria
Description: partial 16S ribosomal RNA
Rfam family: Bacterial small subunit ribosomal RNA
Source: RNAcentral
AUUGAACGCUGGCGGCAUGCCUUACACAUGCAAGUCGAACGGCAGCACGGGUGCUUGCACCUGGUGGCGAGUGCCGAACGGGUGAGUAAUACAUCGGAACAUGUCCUGUAGUGGGGGAUAGCCCGGCGAAAGCCGGAUUAAUACCGCAUACGAUCUACGGAUGAAAGCGGGGGACCUUCGGGCCUCGCGCUAUAGGGUUGGCCGAUGGCUGAUUAGCUAGUUGGUGGGGUAAAGGCCUACCAAGGCGACGAUCAGUAGCUGGUCUGAGAGGACGACCAGCCACACUGGGACUGAGACACGGCCCAGACUCCUACGGGAGGCAGCAGUGGGGAAUUUUGGACAAUGGGCGAAAGCCUGAUCCAGCAAUGCCGCGUGUGUGAAGAAGGCCUUCGGGUUGUAAAGCACUUUUGUCCGGAAAGAAAUCCUUGGCUCUAAUACAGUCGGGGGAUGACGGUACCGGAAGAAUAAGCACCGGCUAACUACGUG